Podarcis lilfordi (Lilford's wall lizard) is the source of this 1635-nucleotide non-coding RNA. The record is from the annotation of a GenBank genome assembly. NCBI's taxonomy places the organism in Eukaryota, Metazoa, Chordata, Lepidosauria, Squamata, Lacertidae.
CCAAGAGCCGGCGGGGCCUGCAUUCCAGAAUAAAGGAUUUACCUGGGAGUUAGCUGUAAUUGAAAUGGGUCGGGCUGGCUGCUGAGUAAAUGUGCGUAGGAUUGGGCCGUAACUUAAAUCUACAAACUGAGGAGAAGGAGAAGAAGAAAGAAGAAACGUUGUGACAGGUAGAGAUUCGGCUGUUGAGGCGUUUUCUAGCAGCUGUUCUCCAGGGUUUAAGACAGUGGAUGUUUCCAGCCCUAUCUGGAGAUGCCAGAGGCUGAACAAAAUAAAAUAAAAUAAAAAUUCCUUCCAGUAGCACCUUAGAGACCAACUAAGUUAGUUAUUGGUAUGAGCUUUUAUGUGCACACGAAAGCUCAUACCAAUAACUAACUUAGUUGGUCUCUAAGGUGCUAUUGGAAGGAAUUUAUUAUUAUUAUUAUUAUUAUUAUUAUUAUUCAACUACAGCAGACCAACACGGCUACCUACCUGUAAACAGAGACUGAACCUGAGACCUACAUGCAAAGCAGAUGUUCUGCAACUCGGCUACAGUCCGUCCCCCAAAAUCAAAUGAAGUACUACGGAAACACUACAAUAGAGUACUACAAAGAGGUCAUAUUCUCCAUUCUUUCCUUGUGCAUUGUUUAGUAAAGUUUAAUGGAAGAUAAGGCUGUCAAUGGCUACUAGUCACAAUGGCUGUGCUCUUCCCCCACUGUCGGGGGUAGUAAGGCUUUUGAAUCCCAGUUGCUGAAAACCACAGCAGCUCUUGUGCUUAGGUCCUGCUUGCAGGUUUCCCACUGCCAUCUAGUUGUUCAUAGUGAACAGGCUGCUGGACUAUAUAAGUCAUUGGCCUGAUUCAGCACACUCUUCUUGUGUUCUUAUGUUGAUAGUCAAAUGAAAUGUUACCUUGAUAUGCGCUAGCAUCUGUUUCCUUUCUUUACCCUUUGGAUUUUUCCCACCCCACUGGCAAUAUUUCAGCAAUAAGCUCCCUGGGGGCAGAGUAUUUGUGUUACCAGGUAAAGUGCACAGUAAACCACAACAUAAUUUGAGUUUGGAACCUACAAAUUGGGCAGGCCAGAUCCAACACUGUUGGCAGUCUUCCAACUAACCCACUCACCAUCUGUUGUGGCUGCCAGAUGGCACUUGGAAAGAAAAAAACUUUUCUUUUUCUGAAUAUCCUAAACAAGCAAGUAUGAAUGUAGCAAGCUCUGCGUGAUUGUAGCAACUAAAAACCUACUUCCACACAAGCCAAGUAUGUACAGAGAUAGCGAACAGAGGUCUAACUUAGAGGAACUAAAAUAAAUGUUAACAAAUUGUCAUUUUAAAUAGUCUAGUCAUCAGCAACAUCCCUAUCAAUGAAAACAAGUGGACCUUGGCCACUGAAGAAAAAAUACACAUAAACUAAGAAUCUUCAAAGGAAAGGAAGACCCUGAAUAUUUCUGUUCUGUCUGCUGGGACUUUAUUUCUCUAUCAUGUGCAGGGUGGCAUCAACGGUUGGCACGCCUGGGGGCACGCUCAAAAACCCUGCUGGACUUCCUCACCCUCUGCACCGUUGUUGGCUGCUUCACCUUCCUCUUCUUGCAUUUUAAUGGUGUUGCAAGGCCAAAAGAACAGGGUGUCUAACCACCACCUACUCAUGUACCUCUUGGUCUGGCC